This 253-nucleotide ribosomal RNA is filed under the name uncultured bacterium. Its description in RNAcentral is "partial 16S ribosomal RNA". It matches the Rfam family "Bacterial small subunit ribosomal RNA", at positions 524 to 776 of the family's 1533-position model. The record is from RNAcentral.
UACGUAGGGUGCAAGCGUUGUCCGGAUUUAUUGGGCGUAAAGCGCGUGUAGGCGGCCAGAAAAGUCCGCUGUGAAAACUCGAGGCUCAACUUCGAGCUGUCGGUGGAAACUUUCUGGCUAGAGUCCGGAAGAGGAGAAUGGAAUUCCUGGUGUAGCGGUGGAAUGCGCAGAUAUCAGGAAGAACACCCGUGGCGAAGGCGGUUCUCUGGGACGGUACUGACGCUGAGACGCGAAAGCGUGGGGAGCGAACAGG